RNAcentral lists this ribosomal RNA (440 nucleotides) under uncultured bacterium. RNAcentral describes it as "bacterial SSU rRNA". It matches the Rfam family "Bacterial small subunit ribosomal RNA", at positions 338 to 795 of the family's 1533-position model. The record is from RNAcentral.
CCUACGGGGGGCAGCAGUGGGGAAUAUUGCACAAUGGGGGAAACCCUGAUGCAGCAACGCGGCGUGAGCGAUGAAGGCCUUCGGGUCGUAAAGCUCUGUCCUAAGGGAAGAAGACUGACGGUACCUUAGGAGGAAGCCCCGGCUAACUACGUGCCAGCAGCCGCGGUAAUACGUAGGGGGCUAGCGGUAUCCGGAAUUACUGGGCGUAAAGGGUGCGUAGGCGGCCCUACAAGUCAGAGGUGAAAGGCAACGGCUCAACCGUAGUAAGCCUUUGAAACUGUAGGGAUUGGGUGUAGGGGAGGUGAGUGGAAUUCCCAGUGUAGCGGUGAAAUGCGUGGAUAUUGGGAGGAACACCAGUUGCGAAGGCGGCUCUCUGGACUGUAACUGACGCUGCGGCACGAAAGCGUGGGGAGCGAACAGGAUUAGAUACCCGAGUAGUC